AUUGAACGCUGGCGGCAUGCCUUACACAUGCAAGUCGAACGGCAGCACGGGUGCUUGCACCUGGUGGCGAGUGGCGAACGGGUGAGUAAUACAUCGGAACAUGUCCUGUAGUGGGGGAUAGCCCGGCGAAAGCCGGAUUAAUACCGCAUACGAUCUACGGAUGAAAGCGGGGGACCUUCGGGCCUCGCGCUAUAGGGUUGGCCGAUGGCUGAUUAGCUAGUUGGUGGGGUAAAGGCCUAUCAAGGCGACGAUCAGUAGCUGGUCUGAGAGGACGACCAGCCACACUGGGACUGAGACACGGCCCAGACUCCCACGGGAGGCAGCAGUGGGGAAUUUUGGACAAUGGGCGAAAGCCUGAUCCAGCAAUGCCGCGUGUGUGAAGAAGGCCUUCGGGUUGUAAAGCACUUUUGUCCGGAAAGAAAUCCUUGGCCCUAAUACGGUCGGGGGAUGACGGUACCGGAAGAAUAAGCACCGGCUAACUACGUG
This 486-nucleotide ribosomal RNA is filed under the name uncultured bacterium. RNAcentral's name for it is "partial 16S ribosomal RNA". It matches the Rfam family "Bacterial small subunit ribosomal RNA", at positions 30 to 507 of the family's 1533-position model. The record is from RNAcentral.